RNAcentral lists this ribosomal RNA (448 nucleotides) under uncultured bacterium. Its description in RNAcentral is "bacterial SSU rRNA". It matches the Rfam family "Bacterial small subunit ribosomal RNA", at positions 28 to 479 of the family's 1533-position model. The record is from RNAcentral.
GACGAACGCUGGCGGCGUGCCUAACACAUGCAAGUCGAACGGAAGUGGGGGCAACUCCACUUCAGUGGCGAACGGGUGCGUAACACGUGAGCAACCUGCCCUUCGGUGGGGGAUAGCCGGCCUAACGGCCGGAUAAUACCGCAUAUCGCGCCGAGGUCGCAUGGCCUUGGGGUGAAAGCCGUAAGGCGCCGGGGGAGGGGCUCGCGGCCUAUCAGCUAGUUGGCGGGGUAACGGCCCACCAAGGCUACGACGGGUAGCUGGUCUGAGAGGAUGGCCAGCCACAUUGGGACUGAGAAACGGCCCAGACUCCUACGGGAGGCAGCAGUGGGGAAUAUUGCGCAAUGGCCGCAAGGCUGACGCAGCGACGCCGCGUGUGGGAUGAAGGCCUUCGGGUUGUAACCACUGUGAGGAGGGACGAAUACCCGGCUUGACCGGGGGUGACGGUACC